RNAcentral lists this ribosomal RNA (431 nucleotides) under uncultured prokaryote. Its description in RNAcentral is "bacterial SSU rRNA". It matches the Rfam family "Bacterial small subunit ribosomal RNA", at positions 355 to 796 of the family's 1533-position model. The record is from RNAcentral.
UCGAGAAUCUUCGGCAGUGGACGCAAGUCUGACCGAGCGACGCCGCGUGUGUGAAGAAGGCCCUCGGGUUGUAAAGCACUGUCAGAGGGGAUCAAAGCUUCGGCUUGAGAGAUCCUCAAAGGAAGCACGGGCUAAGUUCGUGCCAGCAGCCGCGGUAAGACGAACCGUGCGAACGUUGUUCGGAAUCACUGGGCUUAAAGGGCGCGUAGGCGGAGAGGUCAGUCGGAGGUGAAAUCCUGCAGCUCAACUGUAGAACUGCCUUCGAAACUGCCUGUCUCGAGGGAGGUAGGGGCAUGUGGAACUUCCGGUGGAGCGGUGAAAUGCGUAGAGAUCGGAAGGAACGCCGGUGGCGAAAGCGACGUGCUGGACCUCUUCUGACGCUGAGGCGCGAAAGCUAGGGUAGCGAACGGGAUUAGAUACCCGCGUAGUCC